AACAUUUUAAACUUGAGGACAGA
RNAcentral lists this microRNA (23 nucleotides) under Sus scrofa (pig). Lineage: Eukaryota; Metazoa; Chordata; Mammalia; Artiodactyla; Suidae. The record is from RNAcentral.